CAACCCCUUAUGCCUGGUGACCAUAGCGAGUUGGAACCACCCCUUCCCAUCCCGAACAGGACCGUGAAACAACUCCGCGCCGAUGAUAGUGCGGACUACCCGUGUGAAAGUAGGUCAUCGCCAGGC
Molecule: ribosomal RNA, 126 nt
Filed under: Cupriavidus plantarum
Lineage: Bacteria; Pseudomonadati; Pseudomonadota; Betaproteobacteria; Burkholderiales; Burkholderiaceae
Source: RNAcentral